UAAGAAGUCUGCUCAAGAAAGUGGCGCCAACGUUUCAUAGCCUAAGGCGGUCCACAUGCAAAAGUGGACGAGGUCGCAAGCCAUAAGAAGGCCGAGACGGAGAAGAUGGCACAUCAGUAGAUGCAUCCAGAACACAUGAACGACGUGUUUAAAAGUGAGGCAAAUGUGGAAGAAUACGAGCAAUAAUCCCCGAGAUAAGCUCAGGUUAUGGAGACAAGGAAGUCACCGAUGAUGAAGGUUUAAAAUCCCGUGAUAAGCGAAGUGAGGAAAUCAUAGGAGAUGAUGGUGUUGAAUCUGUAAUAAUUGGAGAAGCAGGAGCAGUACGAGGAAUGGAAUAGGGCUCAACUAUAGUGAUAAGAAUGUCGGGAAAAGUGAGGUAACACAUCCUCCACUAAAAAGGUCGGGGAUGAUGGUCACACGUAGCAGGGACGAGACUCAUUAAAAGUCAUACUGUGAGAAAUAGCACCCGAUGACCAACCUGAUCCCAACAACAAUAUCUCUUAUGGUCAUUGUUGUAUCCUAUGAACACUCAACAUACUAAGUAGUAAGUUUGGAACAUUGACGAGAGGCAGUAAGGGCACAUCAAACACAACCAAACAAUUGAAGCGCUGAAUAAUCUGGAAACGAUCAAAUAGACUCUUGAAAGGAGAUGACCAUGGUGGAAGUGGAGACGCAUUCAACCCAAAGGUGUGGCGUAAGAGAGGCAGUGACCAUCCAAAAGUGUGGCGGAAGAGAGAACAGUGAAAUUGAACCUAUGAGCCGUCUCAAUAGUUGACGAUGCUUGCCCUCAGCCAUGCCAUUUCUGAGCAUGAGCACCAAGAUAAGAGAACUGAGCAAGAGCACCCUGCUCAACAAGGAUUGAGCGCAACAUCUUGGAGAUUUAGUGUCCACCGAGUCAUCACAGAAUACAAGAAUAGGCGGUGAGAGAUACUAUGUUGGCAAACAGAAGCCACAUCGAAAAGUGUGCCAAAAGUGGUCAUCUGGGCCUUACAGGAGCAAAUGUCUCAUCGUAGUCAUGACUAUAUGUUCUCACCACUAGAUGAGCUUUGUAAAGCUCUAGAGAAACAUCAUAGCCUCACCCUUUGAUGUCAUCACAUGCUGCCAUUAUGGAUGAAAAACCGUCAUGAUAAGAAGUCGUCUUGCGAAGAGCACCACAAUAACUAACCAUAGCAGGCGAGCUCGAAAGCCAUAAGUAGGCUGAUCUGGAGCUAUGUGUUGCCAACAGAAGAAUACAUAGUAAUCGAGGGAGUUGACUCAUUAGAAGAAUCCACAAGACGCGAACAGUGAGUGUAGUAAAGUCAAGGAAGACGAGCAAAAGAAGGAACAUGAAAAGAGAAACUGCCAAGAGCGCCUCGACUAUCGACAGGUAGGGAAGUUACCAGGAUAAGAGAACUGAGCAAGAGCACCGUGCUCAACAAGGAUUGAAUGCAACAUCUUGGAGAUUUAUUCUCCACCAGAGUCAUCACGGAAUACAAGAAUAGGCGUAGGGAACUUGUUGUGUGCCAUGGCGUCAAAACGCUUACACAUAUAAGACCUCACUACGAAAGGAAAUAAAGUAUAUCCAGGUGUGUUGAGAGAAGUCAUCUAUAAAUAUAGUACUAGCGAUGACCUCCUUUCGAGGCGAAAGGAGGUGGGCCCCAGACAUCAGAGUGAACAAGGUUGAAAGGGUUGUUGAGACACUGUCUCGCUAUGAGCAUAAGGUAAGUAUAGCUGUUUACCAAGCCGACAACCCAGACAGUUUAGAGACAUCAUCCGAGACUGAUCCAAGAAGACCAUGUCAAACUAAGGAUGCGAGAUGAGAGCCACACAAGUGACCCCAGGCGACGAUGGCACUUCUAAGCAUAACUGGUAGACAAGGUAACAGAGGUGGAGAGACUAGCGACUGUAGCAGCAGAGUCACUUGAUCCAGCAUCCUACGUGCCUGUGCGCUCUCCGUUACCCGCCGAUCCGGCUUGGUGUGCUUCUCCUGUUUGUGGGUUGUGUGCCACGCACUUGAUUAAGCACCCCACGUUCUCCUACAGUGCGCCCUUGACCCUGGCUUUAGGUAGCGCCGUGUCCUCGGCUUGCCGUGCAUAAUCCAGGUAUGCGCCAACUGUCCGAGCUCCUGCUCACCAUUGGUGUUGCUCGAGCGUGGGUUCUGGUGUCGCCCAUAAAGGGAACACGGGAUGUGGGAUUGAGACAGUUCACAUAGCAACCCACAACAAGGCAAAGGAUGCCCAUCCAACUGGCAGGGAGCGGAGGUGGACCCAAAAAGGUGGAUGUUGACUCCAAGGAGUCUCAACAGGACGCUUGUCAGUAAGAGGAGCAAGAAGAUCCUGGAUAUACUUCUCUUAGCAAAUAAAGAAGCCAUCAAAGGUAGACUCAGGGAAGUAGCGAUGAGGACCAAGGUCAGACAUAAGAAACUCACUGUGACGAGCCUUCACAAAGGCAAUGUACUUAAGAGUCGUGUAGGAUCAUGAGCACCCGUUGAAAAACGAGCCUUAUUAACCACAGAGACAACGCUCAAACCAGUCAUGAGGGGUUUGCUAAAGAGCAUAUAGAUAAUGCCGAAGGCGACAAACCAUGCCGGCUGGAAAAGAAUACCCAAGUGGUGGCUACAUGUAGGAUUGUUGACAUCAAGCUGAGAGAGAGAGAGAGAGAGAGAGAGAGAGAGAGAGAGAGAGAGAGAGAGAGAGAGAGAGAGAGAGAGAGAGAGAGAGAGAGAGAGAGAGAGAGAGAGAGAGNNNNNNNNNNNNNNNNNNNNNNNNNNNNNNNNNNNNNNNNNNNNNNNNNNNNNNNNNNNNNNNNNNNNNNNNNNNNNNNNNNNNNNNNNNNNNNNNNNNNGAGAGAGAGAGAGAUAGAUAGAUAGAUAGAGAGCCUAUGUUGGCAAACAGAAGCACAUCGAAAAGUGUGCCAAAAGUGGUCAUCUGGGCCAUACAGGAGCAAAUGUCUCAUCCUAGUCAUGACUAUAUGUUCUCACCAGUAGACGAGCUUUGUAAAGCUCUAGAGAAACAUCAUAGUCUCACCCUUGUGGGCCUAGUUACAAGUAAUGAGACGAGCAAGAGGAGGAAGGGAAAUGAGAUUCCACUAGCCGACGAGGUGAAGAGCAUUUGAUGCCAUCACAUGCUGCCAUUGUGGAUGAAAAAAAUGUCAUGAUAAGAAGUCUUCUUGUGAAGAGCACCGCAAUAACUAACCAUAGCAGUCAAUAGGCAGAAGCGGACGAGCUCGAAAGCCAUAAGUAGGCUGAUCUGGAGCUAUGUGUUGCCAACAGAAGAAGACAUAGUAGUUGAGGGAGAUGACUCAUUAUAAGAAUCCACAACACGCGAACAAUGAGUGUAGUAAAGUCAAGGAAGAUGAGCAAAAGAAGGAACAUGCAAGACAAACUGCCAAGAGUGCCUCGACUAUCGACUGGCAGGGAAGUUACAUUGACAGUAAAAACAUGAACAUGAGAAUCUAGAUGUGGAAUACCCAAGUGGUGGCUGCACGUAAAACCCCUGACAAAAUUCACCAUUAAAAAGUCUUUCUUAACAUCAAGCCGAGACGGAGUGACGAAUAAAGGCCGCAACAAGAUGUGUGUGAACAAUUGUCGUAUGGCCCGCAUGAGCUGAAACUCUCAUCGUAAUUAGGACCAUGAUUCUACUGAAAGCCACGAGCCACAAGACGAGCUUUGUAAUGUUCAAGAGAACCAUCAGAGCGAGUCUUAACCUUGUAGACGCACCAAGUAAUGGGACGAACACGAGGAGGAAGGGACACAAUAUCCUCUACCAUGGCAAGGCGCCAUUUGGUAUGAAUAACAUCAAGAUAAGAAGUCUGCUCAAGAAAGUGGCGCCAACGUUUCAUAGCCUAAGGCGGUCCACAUGCAAAAGUGGAAGAGGUCGCAAGCCAUAAGAAGGCCGAGACGGAGAAGAUGGCACAUCAGUAGAUGCAUCCACAACACACGAACGACGUGUAUAAAAGUGAGGCAAAUGUGGAAGAAUACGAGCAAUAAUCCCCGAGAUAAGCUCAGGUUAUGGAGACAAGGAAGUCACCGGUGAUGAAGGUUUAGAAUCCCGUGAUAAGCGAAGUGAGGAAAUCAUAGGAGAUGAUGGUGCUGAAUCUGUAAUAAUUGGAGAAGCAGGAGCAGUACGAGGAAUGGAAUAGGGCUCAACGAUAGUGAUAAGAAUGUCGGGAAAAGUGAGGUAACACAUCCUCCACUAAAAAGGUCGGGGAUGAUGGUCACACGUAGCAGGGACGAGACUCACUAAAAGUCAUACCGUGAGAAAUAGUCACCCGAUGACCAACCUGAUCCCAACAACAAUAUCUCUUAUGCUCAUUGUUGUAUCCUAUGAACACUCAACAUACUAAGUAGUAAGUUUGGUACAUUGACGAGAGGCAGUAAGGGCACAUCAAACACAACCAAACAAUUGAAGCGCUGAAUAAUCUGGAAACGAUCAAAUAGACUCUCGAAAGGAGAUGACCAUGGUGGAAGUGGAGACGCAUUCAACCCAAAAGUGUGGCGUAAGAGAGGCAGUGACCAUCCAAAAGUGUGGCGGAAGAGAGAGCAGUGACGCUGAACCUAUGAGCCGUCUCAAUAGUUGACGAUGCUUGCCCUCAGCCAUGCCAUUUUUGAGCAUGAGCACCACGAUAAGAGAACUGAGCAAGAGCACCCUGCUCAACAAGGAUUGAGCGCACCAUCUUGGAGAUUUAGUCUCCGCCGAGUCAUCACAGAAUACAAGAAUAGGCGUAGAGAGAUACUAUGUUAGCAAACAGAAGCCACAUCGAAAAGUGUGCCAAAAGUGGUCAUCUGGGCCAUACAGGAGCAAAUGUCUCAUCGUAGUCAUGACUAUAUGUUCUCACCACUAGAUGAGCUUUGUAAAGCUCUAGAGAAACAUCAUAGCCUCACCCUUUGAUGUCAUCACAUGCUGCCAUUAUGGAUGAAAAAACGUCAUGAUAAGAAGUCGUCUUGCGAAGAGCACCACAAUAACUAACCAUAGCAGGCGAGCUCGAAAGCCAUAAGUAGGCUGAUCUGGAGCUAUGUGUUGCCAACAGAAGAAUACAUAGUAAUCGAGGGAGUUGACUCAUUAGAAGAAUCCACAACACGCGAACAGUGAGUGUAGUAAAGUCAAGGAAGACGAGCAAAAGAAGGAACAUGAAAAGAGAAACUGCCAAGAGCGCCUCGACUAUCGACAGGUAGGGAAGUUACCAGGAUAAGAGAACUGAGCAAGAGCACCGUGCUCAACAAGGAUUGAAUGCAACAUCUUGGAGAUUUAUUCUCCACCAGAGUCAUCACGGAAUACAAGAAUAGGCGUAGGGAACUUGUUGUGUGCCAUGGCGUCAAAACGCUUACACAUAUAAGACCUCACUACGAAAGGAAAUAAAGUAUAUCCAGGUGUGUUGAGAGAAGUCAUCUAUAAAUAUAGUACUAGCGAUGACCUCCUUUCGAGGCGAAAGGAGGUGGGCCCCAGACAUUAGAGUGAACAAGGUUGAAAGGGUUGUUGAGACACUGUCUCGCUAUGAGCAUAAGGUAAGUAUAGCUGUUUACCAAGCCGAC
RNAcentral lists this long non-coding RNA (5509 nucleotides) under Hordeum vulgare. Its description in RNAcentral is "long non-coding RNA (HVUL_LNC007059)". The record is from RNAcentral. Lineage: Eukaryota; Viridiplantae; Streptophyta; Magnoliopsida; Poales; Poaceae.